GUCCAAUACAUCUAAAGCCAGACCUAGAAUAGGUUGGGCUUUGGUUUUUGUUUUAAAAAGCCUUGGAAUCUUUUGUCCAUGCCAUUUGCAAAUCCACCGGCUUGGCAGCCAUGCAUAAAAGCAUGGGAUCUUCCAAGCUUACCCUGCUCCAUUUUUUUUUCCUUCUCGUCUCUUUCUUCUUAUCCAUGGCAUUUGGAAGUUGGAUCAUCCAUGAAAAUAAAUAAAGGAAAGUAUU
Molecule: unclassified non-coding RNA, 235 nt
Filed under: Hevea brasiliensis (rubber tree)
Lineage: Eukaryota; Viridiplantae; Streptophyta; Magnoliopsida; Malpighiales; Euphorbiaceae
Source: RNAcentral